RNAcentral lists this ribosomal RNA (450 nucleotides) under uncultured bacterium. Its description in RNAcentral is "partial 16S ribosomal RNA". It matches the Rfam family "Bacterial small subunit ribosomal RNA", at positions 338 to 795 of the family's 1533-position model. The record is from RNAcentral.
CCUACGGGUGGCAGCAGUGGGGAAUCUUGCGCAAUGGACGAAAGUCUGACGCAGCGACGCCGCGUGGGUGAUGAAGGCCUUCGGGUUGUAAAGCCCUGUGGGGAGAGAAGAAUAAGUGCGGGCUAAUACCCCGCAUGAUGACGGUAUCUCCUUAGCAAGCACCGGCUAACUCUGUGCCAGCAGCCGCGGUAAGACAGAGGGGGAAAACGUUGUUCGGAAUUACGGGGCGGCGGUCGGGUGUGGGCGGUGUGAAAGCCCCGGGCUCAACCCGGGAAGUGCACUCGAUACUGUUAGGCUAGAGUACUGGAGAGGUUGGUGGAAUUCUCGGUGUAGAGGUGAAAUUCGUAGAUAUCGAGAGGAACACCGGUGGCGAAGGCGGCCAACUGGACAGAUACUGACGCUGAGACACGAAAGCGUGGGGAGCAAACAGGAUUAGAUACCCCUGUAGUC